GACAGAGGGUGCAAACGUUGCUCGGAUUUACUGGGCGUAAAGCGCGUGUAGGCGGCUUGGCAAGUUGAAUGUGAAAGCCCACGGCUCAACCGUGGAAGCGCAUCCAAAACUGCUUCGCUCGAGUCUCGGAGAGGAAGGUGGAAUGCUUGGUGUAGAGGUGAAAUUCGUAGAUAUCAAGCAGAACACCUGCGGCGAAGGCGGCCUUCUGGACGAUGACUGACGCUGAGACGCGAAAGCGUGGGGAGCAAACAGG
This 253-nucleotide ribosomal RNA is filed under the name uncultured bacterium. Its description in RNAcentral is "partial 16S ribosomal RNA". It matches the Rfam family "Bacterial small subunit ribosomal RNA", at positions 524 to 776 of the family's 1533-position model. The record is from RNAcentral.